RNAcentral lists this ribosomal RNA (880 nucleotides) under Acinetobacter sp. SI-koppal-1B. Its description in RNAcentral is "bacterial SSU rRNA". It matches the Rfam family "Bacterial small subunit ribosomal RNA", at positions 47 to 919 of the family's 1533-position model. The record is from RNAcentral. Lineage: Bacteria; Pseudomonadati; Pseudomonadota; Gammaproteobacteria; Moraxellales; Moraxellaceae.
CUUAACACAUGCAAGUCGAGCGGGGGAAGUUGCUUCGGUAACUGACCUAGCGGCGGACGGGUGAGUAAUACUUAGGAAUCUGCCUAUUAAUGGGGGACAACAUCUCGAAAGGGAUGCUAAUACCGCAUACGCCCUACGGGGGAAAGCAGGGGAUCACUUGUGACCUUGCGUUAAUAGAUGAGCCUAAGUCGGAUUAGCUAGUUGGUGGGGUAAAGGCCUACCAAGGCGACGAUCUGUAGCGGGUCUGAGAGGAUGAUCCGCCACACUGGGACUGAGACACGGCCCAGACUCCUACGGGAGGCAGCAGUGGGGAAUAUUGGACAAUGGGGGGAACCCUGAUCCAGCCAUGCCGCGUGUGUGAAGAAGGCCUUAUGGUUGUAAAGCACUUUAAGCGAGGAGGAGGCUCUUUUGGUUAAUACCCAAGAAGAGUGGACGUUACUCGCAGAAUAAGCACCGGCUAACUCUGUGCCAGCAGCCGCGGUAAUACAGAGGGUGCGAGCGUUAAUCGGAUUUACUGGGCGUAAAGCGUGCGUAGGCGGCUUUUUAAGUCGGAUGUGAAAUCCCCGAGCUUAACUUGGGAAUUGCAUUCGAUACUGGGAAGCUAGAGUAUGGGAGAGGAUGGUAGAAUUCCAGGUGUAGCGGUGAAAUGCGUAGAGAUCUGGAGGAAUACCGAUGGCGAAGGCAGCCAUCUGGCCUAAUACUGACGCUGAGGUACGAAAGCAUGGGGAGCAAACAGGAUUAGAUACCCUGGUAGUCCAUGCCGUAAACGAUGUCUACUAGCCGUUGGGGUCUUUGAGACUUUAGUGGCGCAGCUAACGCGAUAAGUAGACCGCCUGGGGAGUACUGUCGCAAGACUAAAACUCAAAUGAAUUGACGGGGG